AGUGUAAUUCCUCGUCUACCUACGUUCAUCCGUAGGUGAGGACUAUUACUUGAAUACUUGCCCCCUCCUUUUGCUCGCCUUUCUGCGACAGGGGCUGAUUGUGUUUCCUCGUCUACCUGCGUUCAUCCGUGGGUGAGGAAUGUUCUUGAGCACGUCCCUCGUCUAAUCCUACGUUCUUCCGUAGGUGGGGUUUACUCUUGAGUACUUGCCCGUCUGUCUACAUUUUUGUAGAAUGGGGUGUGUGUUUAGCCGACGUGUCCCCCGUCUAACCUACGUUCUUCCGUAGGUGGGGUUCACUUUUGCCGCUGUGUUUCCCGUCUAACCUACGUUCUUCCGUAGGUGGGGUUCACUCUUUGCCGCUGUGUUCCCCGUCUAACCUACGUUCUUCCGUAGGUGGGGUUCACUCUUGAGUACAUCCCUCGUCUAACACUACGUUUCCGUAGGUGAGGUUCACUCUUGCCGAUGUGUUCCCCGUCUAACACUACGUUCUUCCGUAGGUGGGGUUCACUUUUGAGUACGUCCCUCGUCUAACACUACGUUUCCGUAGGUGAGGUGCACUCUUGCCGGUGUGUUCCCCGUCUAACACUACGUUCUUCCGUAGGUGGGGUUCACUUUUGAGUACGUCCCUCGUCUAACACUACGUUUCCGUAGGUGAGGUUCACUCUUUGCUUUGGGUGGGAUACGCAUCCUGAUUCUGUUACCAUUAAGACUUUCUCUAUCCGCGUUCUUCCGCAGGUAGAGUUAAUUUGGCGUCCUACUUUGUUACUGCGUCCAGUAAUAGUAGGAGUUCAAAUAUCUUUAUAUGGCUUAGCUCAUUUUGCUGUUGUAUCCCCGUCCGGGUUGUGGACUUCCACGAUUCCUUAGGAGCAUUUCGUGUUACACCCUCCUGUCUUGGUGUGCCUCUGCAACUCCAACUUGUCUGGGUUCUUUUUUCCGCAUCCCUUUUGUGUAGGAGAAAAAGUCGAUCCCUUGUUGGUUUUGGUCGACUUUUGCUAAAUGUCGAUCUCAUGUUGAAUUUCCUCGAUUUUCGCUAAAUGUCGAUCUCUUGUUGAAGUUGGUCGACUUUUGUCAAAAAGUCGAUUCCUGGUGCUUUAGGUCAAAAGUCGAUCCCUUGCGUAAAAAGUCGACUUUGCCAAUUUUUGUCCUUUUGUGCUGUCCUAGGGUCUAUAAAUAGGACCCCUAGGUUCUCCUUUUCCUUCAUCCAUCCAUGGCUCUUCUUGUGAGUCUCUUUGCUGAUUUUAUUCAGGGAGAGAUUGAGGAGCUGGAUCGAAUUCUGAAUAUUUUAGAUCCUCGGUCUUCAACCUUGGAUCUUCCUUUUCUGCGCCAGCUUAUUGUUGAGCGGCAGAGUGUUGCUGUUGCUGCUCGGGAGUCCAUUUUCGAAGAAUGGUCUGGUGGCGAUCUUCCGCCUACCUCUUCUUCUGCUAUUCCUCCCCGUGGCCGACGUCGGAGGCGUCCCCGCCGCGGUGCUUCUCCGCUGGAUCAGGUCCCUCGUCGCUUGCGUCGCCGUAUUAAUUUU
RNAcentral lists this long non-coding RNA (1516 nucleotides) under Zostera marina. RNAcentral's name for it is "long non-coding RNA (ZMAR_LNC004485)". Lineage: Eukaryota; Viridiplantae; Streptophyta; Magnoliopsida; Alismatales; Zosteraceae. The record is from RNAcentral.